ACUUAAAUUGAAGAGUUUGAUCAUGGCUCAGAUUGAACGCUGGCGGCAGGCCUAACACAUGCAAGUCGAGCGGUAGCACAGAGAGCUUGCUCUCGGGUGACGAGCGGCGGACGGGUGAGUAAUGUCUGGGAAACUGCCUGAUGGAGGGGGAUAACUACUGGAAACGGUAGCUAAUACCGCAUAAUGUCGCAAGACCAAAGUGGGGGACCUUCGGGCCUCAUGCCAUCAGAUGUGCCCAGAUGGGAUUAGCUAGUAGGUGGGGUAAC
This 266-nucleotide ribosomal RNA is filed under the name Klebsiella pneumoniae subsp. pneumoniae KPNIH20. RNAcentral's name for it is "partial 16S ribosomal RNA". It matches the Rfam family "Bacterial small subunit ribosomal RNA", at positions 1 to 261 of the family's 1533-position model. Lineage: Bacteria; Pseudomonadati; Pseudomonadota; Gammaproteobacteria; Enterobacterales; Enterobacteriaceae. The record is from RNAcentral.